Molecule: long non-coding RNA, 457 nt
Organism: Labeo rohita (rohu)
Lineage: Eukaryota; Metazoa; Chordata; Actinopteri; Cypriniformes; Cyprinidae
Exons: 3
Source: RefSeq, a predicted model, not a curated record
CUGGAUACCUGUGGCUGCAGCCAUUGACGGAUUCUUUUAUCCACAUCACGAUUCUUCACACACUCCAGGAGUCCCUUAUCCUCGUUGAAAAAACAGUCCAUUCACAAGACCUGAGAGAGUGUUAAGUCCAUUCAGCGCAGCGUCAAUGUCAGUUCCUGCCCUUGAAACAAUAAAGCAGAAAACCAAAAUGGCAUCACACUUCUCUGCGUUGAACACCUGCUGACCUGAUAGUUGUUCAAGGACAUCUUUGAUGAUGUCCUCUGCAGACUUGAAUGUCUUUCCAGUUUGGAUCUUGGACAAGACUAAAACAUUAAAAUGUUUUAACUGAAGAUGGCUAAACGUCACUGAAGAUGACUAAGCGUCUGUUCAUGUAAAACAUCCACUAGACGUCGCUACACUAUAAUGUAACGGUCCAAAUAUCAGAAAAAAAGACACAAAAUAAAAGUGCAGAAAUACA